RNAcentral lists this ribosomal RNA (375 nucleotides) under uncultured bacterium. RNAcentral's name for it is "bacterial SSU rRNA". It matches the Rfam family "Bacterial small subunit ribosomal RNA", at positions 110 to 520 of the family's 1533-position model. The record is from RNAcentral.
GUAACGCGUGGGAACCUUCCCAGUGGUACGGAAUAGCCCAGGGCAAACUUGGGGUAAUACCGUAUAAGCCCCUAGGGGGAAAGAUUUAUCGCCAUUGGAUGGGCCCGCGUCGGAUUAGCUAGUUGGUGAGGUAACGGCUCACCAAGGCGACAUCCGUAGCUGGUCUGAGAGGAUGAUCAGCCACACUGGGACUGAGACACGGCUCCAGACUCAUACGGGAGGCAGCAGUGGGGAAUAUUGGACAAUGGGCGCAAGCCUGAUCCAGCCAUGCCGCGUGAGUGACGAAGGCCUUAGGGUUGUAAAGCUCUUUUGGCGGGGACGAUAUGACGGUACCCGCAGAAUAAGCUCCGGCUAACUUCGUGCCAGCCGCCGCGG